GCCGGGCGCGGUGGCGGGUGCUUGUGGUCCCAGCUACUCGGGAGGCUGAGGCAGUAGAAUGACGUGAACCCAGGAGGCGGAGCUUGCAGUAAGCCGAGAUCGUGCCACUGCACUCCAGCCUGGGCGACAGAGCAAGACUCCAUCUACAAAAAAAAAAAAANNNNNNNNNNGCCCAGGUUGGAGUGCAGUGGCAUGUUGACUCACUGCAAGCUCCGCCUCCUGGGUUCACGCCAUUCGCCUGCCUCAG
This 247-nucleotide non-coding RNA is filed under the name Chlorocebus sabaeus (green monkey). The record is from Rfam by way of RNAcentral. Lineage: Eukaryota; Metazoa; Chordata; Mammalia; Primates; Cercopithecidae.